Molecule: ribosomal RNA, 440 nt
Filed under: uncultured bacterium
Lineage: Bacteria
Description: partial 16S ribosomal RNA
Rfam family: Bacterial small subunit ribosomal RNA
Source: RNAcentral
CCUACGGGAGGCAGCAGUGGGGAAUAUUGCACAAUGGGGGAAACCCUGAUGCAGCGACGCCGCGUGAGUGAAGAAGUAUUUCGGUACGUACAGCUCUAUCAGCAGGGAAGAAAAUGACGGUACCUGACUAAGAAGCCCCGGCUAACUACGUGCCAGCAGCCGCGGUAAUACGUAGGGGGCAAGCGUUAUCCGGAUUUACUGGGUGUAAAGGGAGCGUAGACGGCAGCGCAAGUCUGGAGUGAAAUCCCAUGGCUUAACCAUGGAACUGCUUUGGAAACUGUGCAGCUAGAGUGCAGGAGAGGUAAGCGGAAUUCCUAGUGUAGCGGUGAAAUGCGUAGAUAUUAGGAGGAACACCAGUGGCGAAGGCGGCUUACUGGACUGUAACUGACGUUGAGGCUCGAAAGCGUGGGGAGCAAACAGGAUUAGAUACCCCGGUAGUC